UUAGAGUUUGAAUCCUGGCUCAGAUUGAACGCUGGCGGCAGGCCUAACACAUGCAAGUCGAGCGGUAGAGAGAAGCUUGCUUCUCUUGAGAGCGGCGGACGGGUGAGUAAUGCCUAGGAAUCUGCCUGGUAGUGGGGGAUAACGUUCGGAAACGGACGCUAAUACCGCAUACGUCCUACGGGAGAAAGCAGGGGACCUUCGGGCCUUGCGCUAUCAGAUGAGCCUAGGUCGGAUUAGCUAGUUGGUGAGGUAAUGGCUCACCAAGGCGACGAUCCGUAACUGGUCUGAGAGGAUGAUCAGUCACACUGGAACUGAGACACGGUCCAGACUCCUACGGGAGGCAGCAGUGGGGAAUAUUGGACAAUGGGCGAAAGCCUGAUCCAGCCAUGCCGCGUGUGUGAAGAAGGUCUUCGGAUUGUAAAGCACUUUAAGUUGGGAGGAAGGGCAGUUACCUAAUACGUGAUUGUUUUGACGUUACCGACAGAAUAAGCACCGGCUAACUCUGUGCCAGCAGCCGCGGUAAUACAGAGGGUGCAAGCGUUAAUCGGAAUUACUGGGCGUAAAGCGCGCGUAGGUGGUUAGUUAAGUUGGAUGUGAAAUCCCCGGGCUCAACCUGGGAACUGCAUUCAAAACUGACUGACUAGAGUAUGGUAGAGGGUGGUGGAAUUUCCUGUGUAGCGGUGAAAUGCGUAGAUAUAGGAAGGAACACCAGUGGCGAAGGCGACCACCCUGGACUGAUACCUGACACUGAGGUGCGAAAGCGUGGGAGCAA
This 772-nucleotide ribosomal RNA is filed under the name Pseudomonas sp. CUL-ADBH2A2. RNAcentral's name for it is "bacterial SSU rRNA". It matches the Rfam family "Bacterial small subunit ribosomal RNA", at positions 1 to 771 of the family's 1533-position model. The record is from RNAcentral. Lineage: Bacteria; Pseudomonadati; Pseudomonadota; Gammaproteobacteria; Pseudomonadales; Pseudomonadaceae.